Molecule: long non-coding RNA, 973 nt
Filed under: Cyanistes caeruleus (blue tit)
Lineage: Eukaryota; Metazoa; Chordata; Aves; Passeriformes; Paridae
Description: lncRNA (ENSCCEG00000009697.1)
Source: RNAcentral
GUUCCUCUGGACUUCUUUGACAGAAAAUGUGAAGAACAAAAAGCCCUCCAGGCAGUGAGAAGAAUCACUGUGAUUCAUCCCAUGGAGCAAUUUGAAUUGUCUUCUGGAACAUGAAUAACUGUUUCUGCUGACUGGCAACUUCUUUGUUUGAAGGUCUCUCAGGCUACUGUUCUUCUAAGCUAUUUCUAACCACCUACACUCUCCAAGAAAGGCAGAAAAUCUGUGCCACUGCAAGAGACCACUCUUGCCCUUGAUAACUAUCCAGACCAGACUGAGCUAUCAGGCCUGGAUGAUCCAUGCACAGCAAAAGAACAAUUCUACAGCAGCAACGGAGACAAAGCUGACUCCUCUGUCACUGGCCACUGAAUCAGAACAUGGUUUUCCAGGGAGAGAGAAAGAUGUUGUGAGAGAGGAUAAGGUUAGGAGAGCUUUCAUGAGAAUGUGGCUGAGCUAGGGAUAACUGCUUCCCUAUUAAACUCAGCUCUGUAUUCUUAGGAUCCCUUUUUAUUGCUGUCAAGCAGGAAAGCAUUAUAUGACUCACUUUACAGCUCAUAUCUGAAAAUUGACUGGCAGCCUAAGUGAAGCUAACUGGUCAUUGUCGUAUGAUGUGCAUGUUAAGAUGACAGGAACAGGAAGCUGGAGAGUACCCAGAAACAGGCUUAGCAGCAGAAGUCUGUAUUCUCUCAAAAUCCUUCUCUUGUGUGUUCCUACAUAUCUAGCCCUUUCCGGACUGUGCUCAGCCUUUCUGUGCAAGUCAGGAGCUGCAAAAGUGCUGUUCAUUAGGAUGAACUCUUUGUGCUCUGAAGAGGCUUCAAAACAAGUCAGUAAGCAACAUAGCUACCCCAAGCACCAAAGAUCAGAGUAUGCUGCAGGCUCCACUGGGGAAGCUUUGCUUAAUGCAGGAGAGAGCAACUCCAGCAGUGGGAGAGACCAGGCAGUAUACCUCAACCCUAUUAUUCCAGGCAUCAGCUAA